Seriola dumerili (greater amberjack) is the source of this 470-nucleotide long non-coding RNA. RefSeq lists it as uncharacterized. Lineage: Eukaryota; Metazoa; Chordata; Actinopteri; Carangiformes; Carangidae. The transcript has 3 exons. The record is from RefSeq and is a predicted model, not a curated record.
AGCUCGAGCUACCCUGUUCCAGCUCAUUAGCCGUGAUUAAUCGGCAUGUGAGCUUUCCCAUGGUCCCCUUUGACUGGCUGGAGACAGAGCUCACCUUGGAGGGCACAGAGAGACGAGGCUGCUACACCACCACCGUUAACACUCUGCCACAUGUGACUCAGCAGAGGCAUGGUAUGGACAGCAGCUCAACACCACACCUGUAAUCUCUCAGUCAUCAUCUUCACUAUCUCUACCCUGGCCAUCCCUCCAUUUGUUGACAGAAGAGUUCCUGAUUUGUGUGCUGCUGAUAUUGCUACACUCCACUGUCGCCAUGACAUGCCACACCACACCACCCAGCUGCCUUUGGUCUCCAGUCGUCCCUUGUGUUUCCAGUGUGUGUUCAAUCAUCUGGCUCUGGUCUUCAGUGUCCUCUGUAGUCCGGCUUGAUGUCCUCGCCAUACACCUGGAUUUCCCAGACCCACUCCCACUCU